GGCCGUGUGUCUCCAAAUGAGAGGGUGGGGUCCACCUAUUUGAAAAACCUUAGGUGCCAUGUCAUCAUCUUUACAAUUGGGCUUUAGUCUAUUCUACCAAAAUUAGCCCAAAUAACAAAAUUUAGUUUAAAAAGCCUAAUCUACUAAAUUAAAAUUUGAUUAAUUCUAAAAUGUGUUUGUGGAGAGUCUUCAAUUGUUUGGUGCCCUUCC
Molecule: long non-coding RNA, 210 nt
Filed under: Vigna radiata
Lineage: Eukaryota; Viridiplantae; Streptophyta; Magnoliopsida; Fabales; Fabaceae
Description: long non-coding RNA (VRAD_LNC013588)
Source: RNAcentral